CGGUAGCACAGAGAGCUUGCUCUCGGGUGACGAGUGGCGGACGGGUGAGUAAUGUCUGGGAAACUGCCUGAUGGAGGGGGAUAACUACUGGAAACGGUAGCUAAUACCGCAUAACGUCGCAAGACCAAAGAGGGGGACCUUCGGGCCUCUUGCCAUCAGAUGUGCCCAGAUGGGAUUAGCUAGUAGGUGGGGUAACGGCUCACCUAGGCGACGAUCCCUAGCUGGUCUGAGAGGAUGACCAGCCACACUGGAACUGAGACACGGUCCAGACUCCUACGGGAGGCAGCAGUGGGGAAUAUUGCACAAUGGGCGCAAGCCUGAUGCAGCCAUGCCGCGUGUAUGAAGAAGGCCUUCGGGUUGUAAAGUACUUUCAGCGGGGAGGAAGGUGUUGUGGUUAAUAACCGCAGCAAUUGACGUUACCCGCAGAAGAAGCACCGGCUAACUCCGUGCCAGCAGCCGCGGUAAUACGGAGGGUGCAAGCGUUAAUCGGAAUUACUGGGCGUAAAGCGCACGCAGGCGGUCUGUCAAGUCGGAUGUGAAAUCCCCGGGCUCAACCUGGGAACUGCAUUCGAAACUGGCAGGCUAGAGUCUUGUAGAGGGGGGUA
This 605-nucleotide ribosomal RNA is filed under the name Enterobacter ludwigii. RNAcentral describes it as "bacterial SSU rRNA". It matches the Rfam family "Bacterial small subunit ribosomal RNA", at positions 67 to 663 of the family's 1533-position model. Lineage: Bacteria; Pseudomonadati; Pseudomonadota; Gammaproteobacteria; Enterobacterales; Enterobacteriaceae. The record is from RNAcentral.